AGAGUUUGAUCAUGGCUCAGAUUGAACGCUGGCGGCAUGCCUUACACAUGCAAGUCGAACGGCAGCAUGGGUGCUUGCACCUGAUGGCGAGUGGCGAACGGGUGAGUAAUGCAUCGGAACGUGCCCUGAAGUGGGGGAUAACGUAGCGAAAGUUACGCUAAUACCGCAUAUUCUGUGAGCAGGAAAGCAGGGGAUCGCAAGACCUUGCGCUUUGGGAGCGGCCGAUGUCGGAUUAGCUAGUUGGUGGGGUAAAGGCCUACCAAGGCGACGAUCCGUAGCGGGUCUGAGAGGAUGAUCCGCCACACUGGGACUGAGACACGGCCCAGACUCCUACGGGAGGCAGCAGUGGGGAAUUUUGGACAAUGGGCGCAAGCCUGAUCCAGCCAUGCCGCGUGAGUGAAGAAGGCCUUCGGGUUGUAAAGCUCUUUCGGUGGGGAAGAAAUGGCAACGGUUAAUACCCGUUGUUGAUGACGGUACCCGCAUAAGAAGCACCGGCUAACUACGUGCCAGCAGCCGCGGUAAUACGUAGGGUGCGAGCGUUAAUCGGAAUUACUGGGCGUAAAGCGUGCGCAGGCGGUUGUGUAAGUCAGAUGUGAAAUCCCCGGGCUCAACCUGGGAACUGCAUUUGAGACUGCACGGCUAGAGUGUAGCAGAGGGGGGUAGAAUUCCACGUGUAGCAGUGAAAUGCGUAGAGAUGUGGAGGAAUACCGAUGGCGAAGGCAGCCCCCUGGGUUACUACUGACGCUCAUGCACGAAAGCGUGGGGAGCAAACAGGAUUAGAUACCCUGGUAGUCCACGCCCUAAACGAUGUCAACUAGAUGUUGGAAGGGUUAAACCUUUUAGUGUCGUAGCUAACGCGUGAAGUUGACCGCCUGGGGAGUACGGCCGCAAGGCUAAAACUCAAAGGAAUUGACGGGGACCCGCACAAGCGGUGGAUGAUGUGGAUUAAUUCGAUGCAACGCGAAAAACCUUACCUACCCUUGACAUGUCAGGAACCCUGGAGAGAUCUGGG
This 1012-nucleotide ribosomal RNA is filed under the name uncultured bacterium. RNAcentral's name for it is "bacterial SSU rRNA". It matches the Rfam family "Bacterial small subunit ribosomal RNA", at positions 8 to 1012 of the family's 1533-position model. The record is from RNAcentral.